RNAcentral lists this ribosomal RNA (419 nucleotides) under uncultured bacterium. Its description in RNAcentral is "bacterial SSU rRNA". It matches the Rfam family "Bacterial small subunit ribosomal RNA", at positions 358 to 770 of the family's 1533-position model. The record is from RNAcentral.
GGAAUUGUUCGCAAUGGGCGCAAGCCUGACGACGCAACGCCGCGUGGAGGAUGAAGGUCUUCGGAUCGUAAACUCCUGUUGCCCGGGAAGAAUGGCUCCGACCUAAUACGUCGGAGUGUGACGGUACCGGGUGAGGAAGCCCCGGCUAACUCUGUGCCAGCAGCCGCGGUAAUACAGAGGGGGCGAGCGUUGUUCGGAAUUACUGGGCGUAAAGGGCGCGUAGGCGGCCUGCUAAGUCGGACGUGAAAUCCCCGGGCUCAACCCGGGAACUGCGUCCGAUACUGGCAGGCUCGAAUCCGGGAGAGGGAUGUGGAAUUCCAGGUGUAGCGGUGAAAUGCGUAGAUAUCUGGAGGAACACCGGUGGCGAAGGCGGCAUCCUGGACCGGCAUUGACGCUGAGGAGCGAAAGCCAGGGGAGCA